RNAcentral lists this long non-coding RNA (621 nucleotides) under Piliocolobus tephrosceles (Ugandan red Colobus). RNAcentral describes it as "lncRNA (ENSPTEG00000031778.1)". Lineage: Eukaryota; Metazoa; Chordata; Mammalia; Primates; Cercopithecidae. The record is from RNAcentral.
GAGGAAAUAGGACAGAAAGGUCACACAGAAGCCGUAAAGCCAAUGAUCUCUUAUAAAGCAGUUAUUUAGGUUCUCAGUGGCACUGUUCAUCUUCUGGAAGGGAGAUCACUCCAUUCUCUGCCCAUCCCUGUGUCAUCAGCAUAGCUCUGGAUGCUUGGAGUAAAAGAAGAAAGCCUAUUCUACCUUGUUGCUGCUGUACACUCAGCUUUCCUCUUGCUGAUGACAUGAUUCCUGUUUGAAUCUGUUGACAAGAUUCUGAAAGCCGAACAGAGAAUUCUGGCACUGCAUUGGGUAGGAAAAAGCUUUUCAAGAAAUAGAUAAUAUCAAGGAGACUGGGACACCGGGAGUGGGAGAGAUUGGACUGGGAGACUCAGCAGGUCAGGACAUUUGCAUUACCAUUUGCUGGUCAUUCUUUUGCCAUCAGUUUUACAAUUCUCUUGCCACUUGCUUAUUUCUUCCAUGUGCUUACUUGAGUUGUUCUCGGUUUGCAAUUUAUGAAUAACACUCUAAUAAUAUAAGAAGCCGAGCAUUUGGGUGUCUUCCUUUUAUAGUUUGAAGAUGAGAAAAAAAAAAAAAACCAAUUAAAAGAAACUAUCAAGAAUAGAAAAAAAAUUUCUUACC